UACGUAGGGGGCUAGCGUUGUCCGGAAUCAUUGGGCGUAAAGAGCGUGUAGGCGGCCUUUUAAGUCCUGCGUGAAAUCCUGCGGCUCAACCGCAGACGGUCGUGGGAAACUGGAAGGCUAGAGUGCGGGAGGGGCGAGUGGAAUUCCUGGUGUAGCGGUGAAAUGCGCAGAUAUCAGGAGGAACACCAAUGGCGAAGGCAGCUCGCUGGAACGGUACUGACGCUGAGGCGCGAAAGCGUGGGGAGCGAACAGG
This 253-nucleotide ribosomal RNA is filed under the name uncultured bacterium. RNAcentral's name for it is "partial 16S ribosomal RNA". It matches the Rfam family "Bacterial small subunit ribosomal RNA", at positions 524 to 776 of the family's 1533-position model. The record is from RNAcentral.